This 102-nucleotide ribosomal RNA is filed under the name Labrus bergylta (ballan wrasse). The record is from RNAcentral. Lineage: Eukaryota; Metazoa; Chordata; Actinopteri; Labriformes; Labridae.
AAAAGCUUGAUCUCGGUGUGAUCUCAGAAGCUAAGCAGGGUCGGGCCUGGUUAGUACUUGGAUGGGAGACCGCCUGGGAAUACCAGGUGCUGUAAGCUUUUU